Molecule: ribosomal RNA, 814 nt
Filed under: Clostridioides difficile
Lineage: Bacteria; Bacillati; Bacillota; Clostridia; Peptostreptococcales; Peptostreptococcaceae
Description: bacterial LSU rRNA
Rfam family: Bacterial large subunit ribosomal RNA
Source: RNAcentral
GGUCCGAACCCACGAGCGUUGAAAAGCUCGGGGAUGACUUGUGGGUAGCGGUGAAAUUCCAAUCGAGCCCGGAGAUAGCUGGUUCUCCCCGAAAUAGCUUUAGGGCUAGCCUCAAGGUGAGAGAUACGGAGGUAGAGCACUGAAUGUCCUAGGGGGUAUUGCACCUACCGAAGACUAUCAAACUCCGAAUGCCGUCAUCUUAUACUUGGGAGUCAGACUGUGGGUGAUAAGAUUCAUAGUCGAAAGGGCAACAGCCCAGAUCGUCAGCUAAGGUCCCUAAAUGUAAGUUAAGUGGUAAAGGAUGUGGGAUUGCACAGACAACCAGGAUGUUGGCUUAGAAGCAGCCACUCAUUCAAAGAGUGCGUAAUAGCUCACUGGUCGAGUGAUCCUGCGCCGAAGAUUUCCGGGGCUAAAACUUACUACCGAAGCUACGGCAUCAGUAAUGAUGGGUAGGGGAGCUUCCCAUACGGGUUGAAGCAUGACCGUAAGGACAUGGGGACAGUAUGGGAGUGAGAAUGUUGGCAUGAGUAGCGAGAUGUGGGUGAGAAUCCCACAGGCCGUAAACCCAAGGUUUCCAGGGGAAGGUUCGUCCGCCCUGGGUUAGGCGGGACCUAAGCUGAGGCCGAAAGGCGUAGGUGAUGGACAACAGGUUGAUAUUCCUGUACUACCGAUAACCGUUUGAGAGAUGGGAUGACACAGUAGGAUAAGCUAAGCACACUGUUGGUUAUGUGUGCCCAAGCAUUGAGGCAGUCAAAGUAGGCAAAUCCGCUUUGAUAAUGCUGGGAUGUGAUGGGGAGCGAAAUUUAGUAGCGAA